Molecule: ribosomal RNA, 464 nt
Filed under: uncultured bacterium
Lineage: Bacteria
Description: partial 16S ribosomal RNA
Rfam family: Bacterial small subunit ribosomal RNA
Source: RNAcentral
ACGAACGCUGGCGGCGUGCUUAACACAUGCAAGUCGAACGGAAAGGCCCCUUUGGGGGUACUCGAGUGGCGAACGGGCGAGUAACACGUGAGUAACCUGCCCUUGACUUCGGGAUAACUUCAGGAAACUGGGGCUAAUACCGGAUAGGAAUCCUUGCUGCAUGGUGGGGGUUGGAAAGCUUCGGCGGUUUUGGAUGGACUCGCGGCUUAUCAGCUUGUUGGUGGGGUAGUGGCUUACCAAGGCUUUGACGGGUAGCCGGCCUGAGAGGGCGACCGGCCACAUUGGGACUGAGAUACGGCCCAGACUCCUACGGGAGGCAGCAGUGGGGAAUAUUGCACAAUGGGCGGAAGCCUGAUGCAGCAACGCCGCGUGCGGGAUGACGGCCUUCGGGUUGUAAACCGCUUUCAGCAGGGGCGAAGCUUGUGGUGACGGUACCUGCAGAAGAAGCACCGGCUAACUACGUG